Long non-coding RNA from Alligator sinensis (Chinese alligator), 792 nucleotides. RefSeq lists it as uncharacterized. Lineage: Eukaryota; Metazoa; Chordata; Crocodylia; Alligatoridae. The record is from RefSeq and is a predicted model, not a curated record. The transcript has 6 exons.
CUGACAAUAAGUCAACCAGACGCUCAAGCAGAUCACCAGUGUCGAGUUGCUGCAAGCGAAGCUUUAGGAAUUUCAGCAGAGGGUCCAAAUAUCCAUCAGAAACAAGGCACACUGUUUCUUCAGUCUGCUCUUCAGACCAGAGAAAGAGGGCUUUGUACAAGGUGUCAGCAAUGCUGACGAAGAUCAUAGUCUUUUCUGCCUUGCUGGUUUUGCUGAUGGCUGCUCUGAUUCAAGCACAAGAGGAAUCUGGGGCCUUUCAGUCUGGGGCAUUAAGUGGGGAGCUCAGUGGAGAAGCAAGUGGUGACCCCAGCGGAGAAUCUAGUGGACAAACACACAGGGAGGUCAGCUGGUAUCUCAACAGUGAAUCAAAUGAUGAACCUGGUUUCCCUGAGUAAAGCAGUGGCAAUGGACCAGAAACCAGGAUUCUCUCUCCAGUCUCCUGUCUCAAGACCUCCUAACCUUGUGGAUUUGUUCACCCUGAACCACUCAUUAUGUCACUUCUCUCCUAGUAUAUGGAACACAAAUAGACUGAAAUGGAUGAAACUCACCUCUCCUUCAUCACUUCAUCUACAUCAAAGGAAGAAAAAAAAUCAAGCCUUGCAGUGCAAAGUGCAAUGUCAAAACGGAGUGAUAAUAGUAUGUAGAGCAUUAGCAAGAGUCCUGUAGAGCUUGUAAGAUUUCUGCUUCUUGUUGUGAUUCUAUCAGUGAUUUUAUUAAGGUGUAGUAAUAUUCUGCAAAGUGACUACAUAAAAUGUCCCCUUUUCAUUCAAUAAAUCAGCACUUUGUAUGCAA